CCCGCGCAGAGUGGGAACCAUCGCCCGGUGCGGGCCUGACCUUCCAGGGCCGGCGACUCCUCGGCAGAGCGACCGCGCGGUGUCUCAGAGCGCGGCCCGGAGCCGCACUAAGAGCGCUGGACGGCGGGAGAGAGGCUCGGAGGACCGGUAGCUCCCAGCAAAGCGGCCUAGCGGAUGUCGGGAGCUAUCUUCGGGCCCCUGGAGGGCCCGAGCUCCCUGGAUGCCCCGAGCAUCCACCCGCUGGUGUGCCCGCUGUGCCACGUGCAGUACGAGCGCCCGUGUCUUCUGGACUGUUUCCACGACUUCUGUGCCGGCUGCCUGCGUGGCCGCGCGACCGACGGCCGCCUCACCUGCCCGCUGUGCCAACACCAGACGGUGCUGAAGGGUCCCAGCGGGCUCCCGCCGGUGGACCGGCUACUGCAGUUCCUGGUGGACAGCUCAGGGGAUGGCGUGGAGGCGGUGCGCUGUGCCAACUGUGACCUGGAGUGCAGCGAGCAGGCAGGGGCGGCAGGGCGGGUGGGUGAGGAGCAGAGGGUACCCGGUUGCACAGU
RNAcentral lists this small RNA (551 nucleotides) under Pan troglodytes (chimpanzee). RNAcentral describes it as "retained intron". The record is from RNAcentral. Lineage: Eukaryota; Metazoa; Chordata; Mammalia; Primates; Hominidae.